GACGAACCGUGCAAACGUUGUUCGGAAUCACUGGGCUUAAAGGGCGCGUAGGCGGCUUGCCAAGUCAGGGGUGAAAUCUUUCGGCUCAACCGGAAAAGUGCCUCUGAUACUGGCGAGCUAGAGGGAGGUAGGGGCAUGUGGAACUUCCGGUGGAGCGGUGAAAUGCGUUGAUAUCGGAAGGAACGCCGGUGGCGAAAGCGACGUGCUGGACCUCUUCUGACGCUGAGGCGCGAAAGCUAGGGUAGCGAACGGG
Molecule: ribosomal RNA, 253 nt
Filed under: uncultured bacterium
Lineage: Bacteria
Description: partial 16S ribosomal RNA
Rfam family: Bacterial small subunit ribosomal RNA
Source: RNAcentral